Molecule: ribosomal RNA, 253 nt
Filed under: uncultured bacterium
Lineage: Bacteria
Description: partial 16S ribosomal RNA
Rfam family: Bacterial small subunit ribosomal RNA
Source: RNAcentral
UACGAAGGGGGCUAGCGUUGUUCGGAAUUCCUGGGCGUAAAGCGCGCGCAGGCGGUCUUCCAAGUCAGUGGUGAAAGCCCGGAGCUCAACUCCGGAACUGCCAUUGAAACUGUAAGACUUGAGGAUGAGAGAGGUGAGUGGAAUUCCCAGUGUAGAGGUGAAAUUCGUAGAUAUUGGGAAGAACACCGGUGGCGAAGGCGGCGAUCUGGGUCGAUACUGACGCUGAGGUGCGAAAGCGUGGGGAGCAAACAGG